UUUCCAAAUUUACGGAUCGAUUUUCGAGGGGGAGAAGGGAAACAGAUCCGAGAGUAUAUAUGGCGACGUAUUUUCUAAGGUAACCGCCAGUCGGCUUUGUAACCUUUCGACGACACAAUGAGCCCGAUUUACAGUUCAAUACCGCUACUGCUCUUCGGCUGCUCACUUCUGUUCGCCAUUUCAUCCGCAGCGACACGUCCGGCUCCUGAUUUCACGCGCCGUGGAUUCGAUCGCAAUAAGUUUCAGGAAACGAUCAUCUACCCGCAAAACUAUGCCAGGUCAGAAAGUGGCCGUAACGAAAUGGAAAAUAAUCGACCGGAUAACUUCGACGAGGAUCGUCUGCAAGAGCUGGGGGAAUAUUUCGAAAAUGAUGGCGGAACGCGAGAAGAUUCAGGCCCGGUUUAUCCGGUUUUAGAAAAACGUCCGGCAGCGAGCGGGAAAUACAACUACUACAGGUGCUACUUCAACCCGGUCACGUGUUACCGGAAGUAGCGCGCAUUAAUCACGCGACAUAUUUUCCCAUAAAUAUACCGAUCACGUACUUUAUAAAAUGCACCGCAUGAAAGAGGGCAGAGAAAAUAAAACAAAUUGAUACAA
Neodiprion fabricii is the source of this 597-nucleotide long non-coding RNA. RefSeq lists it as uncharacterized. NCBI's taxonomy places the organism in Eukaryota, Metazoa, Arthropoda, Insecta, Hymenoptera, Diprionidae. The transcript has 2 exons. The record is from RefSeq and is a predicted model, not a curated record.